CCUUUCUCCUUCAGUUAUGACAAUCAAAUGGGACCGUCUCCAUUCCUGAAAUCACUGACCAAUACUGGAAAAAAAAAUGUGGCCUACCUACAGCUGGGGCUAUUUUAUGUGACUGGUUUCUGGCGGAUGCUUUCUUUGUUAAAUCUUUGCUUGAAUAGAUUACAAACCUCUUCAAGAUUUUCCCAUUAUAUUAAAAAAAAAAAAGCCCGACUGGUAUGUGCCUGGAUCACCUUACCUGAAAAGCCCUCUGUCAGGUAAGUUGUAAAGCAAAAAGGAAAUCAAAUAAAAGCAGCUGCCAUAAAAGGAAGAAAUAGAAGUUACAAUAGAGGUCAUGGAGCCAGCCAGGAAAAGAACAAGGCAAGAAAAACGCAGCUGCCUGGGGAAUGAAGAGAAAAGGAAAAAUGAUCGAAGGCUUGAUUGUGGUGCCGAUAUCCCAAGACUAGAACACCUCUGCUAAAAGCAAGACAUGCACUGGCUCCACAAAAGCAGCAUUCAUUGUACAAAAGACACGGCAGAUCUUCUACCCUGAGGAAUUAAAGCAGAUAUUAGGCAAAA
This is a long non-coding RNA of Ornithorhynchus anatinus (platypus), 555 nucleotides long. RefSeq lists it as uncharacterized. The record is from RefSeq and is a predicted model, not a curated record. The transcript is spliced from 2 exons. Lineage: Eukaryota; Metazoa; Chordata; Mammalia; Monotremata; Ornithorhynchidae.